Molecule: transfer RNA, 85 nt
Filed under: Plasmodium falciparum IGH-CR14
Lineage: Eukaryota; Apicomplexa; Aconoidasida; Haemosporida; Plasmodiidae
Description: tRNA-Thr
Source: RNAcentral
AUAUUUAAAUAUAAUUGGUAUAAAUAUUUAUUGGUAAAUAAUAAAUAUAAUUUAUAUAUUAUAUAUAAUAAUUAUAUUAAAUAUU